Non-coding RNA from Paralichthys olivaceus (Japanese flounder), 432 nucleotides. Lineage: Eukaryota; Metazoa; Chordata; Actinopteri; Pleuronectiformes; Paralichthyidae. The record is from RefSeq and is a predicted model, not a curated record.
GAAGAGCGGAAUGAUAUCUAUGAUGCUGCCUGUGUGGAGGAACAGUGGAUCGGUCCCCUGCUGAGAUUGUUCCCCAAUGUUGAAUUUCUCGCGGACCCGCUUACUUUGAAAAUGUCCUGUGAGAGUCAGGUCAAGAAAGCUCCGAUCAAAACCACAAAGCCCCAGGAGUUAUGUCUCACCGAACCCAAACCACAACCUCCUCCGAUGGCAAAGCUCAUCCCAGAGCAGAAAAAAUGCAAACCGGUACCAAUCACCACAUACAGAACUCCAAAGCAGCAGCAGAUAAGACAGAAGAACUUGCGCCGCGCAUAUCUUCCCAAGUAGAGCUGCCGCCCUAACUAGGUGACAGAGGCUAUGUGGUUUUUCUUCCACUUUCCACAAUUCAUUUAUUUUAUGGUUGGGUAAUAUUGCUCAAGUGUCAUUACACACUAC